Long non-coding RNA from Ornithodoros turicata, 511 nucleotides. RefSeq lists it as uncharacterized. The record is from RefSeq and is a predicted model, not a curated record. Lineage: Eukaryota; Metazoa; Arthropoda; Arachnida; Ixodida; Argasidae. The transcript is spliced from 3 exons.
ACAACAACGCUUCGGUUAAAAAACUAUUUGCUUCGUAUUUCCUUUUUCUAUGUAUCUGCUCGCUUCUUUUUCAAAAUGACCCAGUGUAAAUUUGAGCACAUGUAAACACACUAGUGUCCGCACUGCGACGACACAAUCACUUCAUGGUAAAAGGGACGGAAAAGUCGCAUGUCCGAAAAACCCUGGGUCCGUGCACUUGCAAGCGCUGAUUUCGAGGAUGCAUCUCUCAAUCAGAAGGAAAGCUGUUGUCCUCCUCCGCGUCUGAAUGGAAAAUCUCAUUUUUGUACAGCAAGGAAACCACGUGAAAACAAGAGGACAUCACGGAACCUGCAGCCAUGGGAGUCUUCGCCACACAGCAUAGUGGAACACGAUGUCGCGAAGGUUGCUUCUCUGCAAAACCCCUGAUUCCGCCAGUGAGGAACUUCUACCUGACGGGCAAGUAAUGAACGAAUUGGCUGUCUUAACUGUUUUGAAUCCCGUUGGAAUUGUGGCGAUAAUUCAAUGAUAUUAU